This 253-nucleotide ribosomal RNA is filed under the name uncultured bacterium. RNAcentral's name for it is "partial 16S ribosomal RNA". It matches the Rfam family "Bacterial small subunit ribosomal RNA", at positions 524 to 776 of the family's 1533-position model. The record is from RNAcentral.
UACGUAGGGUGCGAGCGUUAAUCGGAAUUACUGGGCGUAAAGCGUGCGCAGGCGGUUCUAUAAGACAGAUGUGAAAUCCCCGGGCUUAACCUGGGAAUUGCAUUUGUGACUGUAGAGCUAGAGUACGGCAGAGGGGGAUGGAAUUCCGCGUGUAGCAGUGAAAUGCGUAGAUAUCAGGAGGAACACCAAUAGCGAAGGCAGCUCGCUGGGACGGUACUGACGCUGAGGCGCGAAAGCGUGGGGAGCGAACAGG